AACUUUCAACAACGGAUCUCUUGGUUCUCGCAUCGAUAAGAGCGCAGCGAAAUGCGAUACCUAGUGUGAAUUGCAGCCAUCGUGAAUCAUCGAGUUCUUGAACGCACAUUGCGCCCGUCGGUAUUCCGGCGGGCAUGCCUGUCUGAGCGUCGUUU
This 155-nucleotide ribosomal RNA is filed under the name Pichia membranifaciens. RNAcentral describes it as "5.8S ribosomal RNA". It matches the Rfam family "5.8S ribosomal RNA". From Rfam's summary of the family: 5.8S ribosomal RNA (5.8S rRNA) is a component of the large subunit of the eukaryotic ribosome. Lineage: Eukaryota; Fungi; Ascomycota; Pichiomycetes; Pichiales; Pichiaceae. The record is from RNAcentral.